RNAcentral lists this ribosomal RNA (453 nucleotides) under uncultured organism. Its description in RNAcentral is "partial 16S ribosomal RNA". It matches the Rfam family "Bacterial small subunit ribosomal RNA", at positions 330 to 799 of the family's 1533-position model. The record is from RNAcentral.
CGUACACUCCUGCGGGAGGCAGCAGUGGGGAAUAUUGGACAAUGGGCGCAAGCCUGAUCCAGCCAUGCCGCGUGAGUGAUGAAGGCCCUAGGGUUGUAAAGCUCUUUCACCGGUGAAGAUAAUGACGGUAACCGGAGAAGAAGCCCCGGCUAACUUCGUGCCAGCAGCCGCGGUAAUACGAAGGGGGCUAGCGUUGUUCGGAUUUACUGGGCGUAAAGCGCACGUAGGCGGACUAUUAAGUCAGGGGUGAAAUCCCGGGGCUCAACCCCGGAACUGCCUUUGAUACUGGUAGUCUUGAGUUCGAGAGAGGUGAGUGGAAUUCCGAGUGUAGAGGUGAAAUUCGUAGAUAUUCGGAGGAACACCAGUGGCGAAGGCGGCUCACUGGCUCGAUACUGACGCUGAGGUGCGAAAGCGUGGGGAGCAAACAGGAUUAGAAACCCUAGUAGUCCCAUG